This 236-nucleotide ribosomal RNA is filed under the name uncultured bacterium. RNAcentral's name for it is "partial 16S ribosomal RNA". It matches the Rfam family "Bacterial small subunit ribosomal RNA", at positions 524 to 753 of the family's 1533-position model. The record is from RNAcentral.
UACGUAGGGGUGCAAGCGUUUGUCCGGAAUUAUUGGGCGUAAAGAGCUCGUAGGCGGUCUGUCGCGUCUGCUGUGAAAACUCAGGGCUUAACCCUGAGCUUGCAGUGGGUACGGGCAGACUAGAGUGCGGUAGGGGAGACUGGAAUUCCUGGUGUAGCGGUGAAAUGCGCAGAUAUCAGGGAGGAACACCGGUGGCGAAGGCGGGGUCUCUGGGGCCGUAACUGACGCUGGAGGAG